Molecule: non-coding RNA, 1289 nt
Organism: Nothobranchius furzeri (turquoise killifish)
Lineage: Eukaryota; Metazoa; Chordata; Actinopteri; Cyprinodontiformes; Nothobranchiidae
Source: RefSeq, a predicted model, not a curated record
AGGUAGGUGUCUAACCCAAGACAUACAGAAUCAUGCACGGAGACGAGGUAAAGAAAAAUAAUAAUUUUAUUUUAAUGUGGAGGUGAACUGAAGGCGUACUGGAGAUCCAGCGGGAGGACGAAUCCGGAAGCGGUAACUGAGAGGGAGACCAGAGGUGAGUGAUGGGAGUUGUAGUUCAGAAGGAAUGUUUGAAGACGGAACUUAUGGUGAGGAAGUUCGGGAUGAAUGUGGAGGGGAGGUGAGCCGGGGUGAUUUCCAGAAGGGACUUGUGAUAGUCGGAGUGGAUGAGUGGAAUGGACGAGGCGGAUGAGGAUGAGGCAGCGGAGAGAGAGCGUGAUCGGUGGAGAGCGGGGCAGCUGGGUGGAGAAGGUAUCCAGGCAACGAACCGGUGAAAUAAUCCUCUGACUUGAAGACAGAAGUGGAUCCCACGAUGAGGUGAGUCUGUGGGUGAUUAUCCAAACGGGAAAACGAGCUCAGGUUAAACGAGUUUCAAAGUUACUAAAACGAGACGAGUUACAAAAUCACAGUGUGGCUAGAAUCUACCCGGCAGUAGAUAAUCAUCCGGCAUCGAAUGUGGAUAACCGUCCUCCUUUUAAAGCCGCCCCGCUGAUCAGUCUGAUGAUGAUCAGCUGCGCUCCCUCUCCUGCAGGUAGAAACUCAGAGAUGAUUAGAUGACAUGUCGAGUACUCACCCCAGCUCAUGACAGCGUGACCUGUUGGCCAAAUUAUAAAAGUGAUGCAAGCGUGAACCAGGCAGUAAAAAACGCAAAGGAGCCGGGACCUGAAUGGGAAACGUAUGAUGUCCGAAUUCUUAAAUCAUGUGAUCAGUACUUCGAGGCAAGACAACACCUAAAUUAGUCACGUCAUGCCACACUUCCAACCUGCAGACAGAAGAGGAGGAAGAGGACAUGCGACCCAAGAGGAAGCCAAAGGCGAUUGAAGACGAACAUCCAAGAAAGAAAUCCAGAAGCCAAUCCAAAACAUCAAUACAGCCACCAGCUCCUGCUGUCCCGCCACCACCAUCUCCUGCGGUUGAACCACCACCAUGCCAACAACAAACCUUGUCUGCAAGCCAGGUGCACACACUUACCUGGCGAGGGAGAAGGUUUGACUAUGGGCACCCUUCCCUGCUCUGGUGGGUAAUUUUUUUUGUUGGUUUUGAAAUGAUUUAAAUUACAUGUUAUUUAAUAAGCCAUAAGGCGAAGGAUUCCAUAGGAAAUAUGAAAUCCACCUUAUGGAUAUGUAAGGCUAAUUAAACCAGAAGAUUGGAACUUUUUAAUGCAGGGAUUA